GUUGCCCCUGUAUUGACGCAAUUUUUUUUUUAAGAGAAACGUUACGUACGUCACCGCGCUUUUUUGAAAUCACCGCCAUCAAAAACGGUGCCAUCACGUGACGUGCGCCACCAGGUUCAAUUUGCCAGUGCGCCGCCCUGCCAUGAUGUCAGUUUCUCCUGGAUACUUGCCGUCGAGUCAGUCUAGAACAGUUUCAAGCCUCCAUUUUGUAUCAAUGUUCCAGUACGUUGUUACAUUUCUACUGAUUGUAGUUAUCAUAACGGUCCAAUGUGCCCCUAUAAAUUACAGUUCGCACAACUGUGUCCUGCGAGUCAAGAAGAUUAAUAAUUCCGACGUGAAUAGUCGCAUUGUACAUUGAUAUUUUCUUAUUGUUGCUGAUUGCGAACACUUGCUGUCGACUGUCAAAUACUUGAGAACGAUUUGCCAUACCAUCUAUCGAAAUUUGCGACGGUUGUUUUCUAUCGGAUCGGAAAUCAAUAUUCGAUUCGAAAUAAGAUGAAUUUGUUCGAGCUGGUUUCAUCAGGGGGAAUGCGGUGUCACAAACAUCAGCAUUUGACCGAUAGCAGACAUAGGAUCGUAGACUCCACCGGAAAGCAAGCAGAGCGUCUUAUCUAUUGUUUGUUACUAUCUCGAUUAAACUACUACCCCACUUAGUGAGGAGACCCUGUACGGUCAUGUCUUUUUGUCAUAAGAGAUACUCUUGUACUUGAUAUUUGGUGAAAAAAUACAUAACAUUAUGUCAUCCGUAAUUAUCGUUCUUGGAUGCGAUAAAGACCAGAGGAGGAAUUCAGAAAAUAUUGCACGACGGCUGAAUUGGUGCAAAAAAUGUGGUGUGGUGUGGAAAAUAUGCACCAGAUAAGCUGCUCAUAUGUGCUCUGAUAGCAGCGUGAUCAUAAACUCGGAAUAAUUAAAUUGCGACCGAAGCAAUAUUAAUUACACUAAUGAUGUGGGACAAAGCAGAUAAGAACGUUGGAACUGAGAAACACAAAAGAUAACCGACACUACUAGAGCAAGGCUAGAUUUUGAAGGCAAACGUCAUCGAAUGAAGGAAGGAAUCGCAGUCAGGAGAUAUAGAGACGCAUAAUCGGAUCAAGUGCAACGCGCUAUUGCUUACGUCAAAAACAUCAAGAAAGUUGUAUACGAUAACGAGAAAGUUUACGACACGCACCCCCAACCUGACAAGUAAAUGUUAUUUGAAUUUUGUAAAGCUCUUCCGUCAAAAUUUAUUCAAGGGAAAGUUGUCGGCGAAUGGCGUGCUACUGGUGAAUUGUAUUCAGCUUCGGAACAUAAAUGAAACAAGACGUUAUC
Long non-coding RNA from Athalia rosae (coleseed sawfly), 1308 nucleotides. RefSeq lists it as uncharacterized. Lineage: Eukaryota; Metazoa; Arthropoda; Insecta; Hymenoptera; Athaliidae. The transcript has 4 exons. The record is from RefSeq and is a predicted model, not a curated record.